Molecule: ribosomal RNA, 253 nt
Filed under: uncultured bacterium
Lineage: Bacteria
Description: partial 16S ribosomal RNA
Rfam family: Bacterial small subunit ribosomal RNA
Source: RNAcentral
UACGAAGGGGGCUAGCGUUGCUCGGAAUCACUGGGCGUAAAGAGCGUGUAGGCGGCCAUGUAGGUCCGUUGUGAAAACUCGAGGCUCAACCUCGAGACGCCGAUGGAAACCAUGUGGCUAGAGUCCGGAAGAGGAGAGUGGAAUUCCUGGUGUAGCGGUGAAAUGCGCAGAUAUCAGGAAGAACACCCGUGGCUAAGGCGGCUCUCUAGUACGGUACUGACGCUGAGACGCGAAAGCGUGGGGAGCGAACGGG